GGGGAUUUGGCUCAGCGGUAGAGCGCUUGCCUAGCAAGCGCGAGGCCCUGGGUUCGGUCCCCAGCUCCG
This 69-nucleotide transfer RNA is filed under the name Rattus norvegicus (Norway rat). It matches the Rfam family "tRNA". From Rfam's summary of the family: Transfer RNA (tRNA) molecules are approximately 80 nucleotides in length. Their secondary structure includes four short double-helical elements and three loops (D, anti-codon, and T loops). Lineage: Eukaryota; Metazoa; Chordata; Mammalia; Rodentia; Muridae. The record is from Rfam by way of RNAcentral.